Molecule: ribosomal RNA, 492 nt
Filed under: uncultured Sphingobacteriales bacterium
Lineage: Bacteria; Pseudomonadati; Bacteroidota; Sphingobacteriia; Sphingobacteriales
Description: bacterial SSU rRNA
Rfam family: Bacterial small subunit ribosomal RNA
Source: RNAcentral
CCCGCUCAGAAACUUAAAUGAAUUGACGGGGGCCCGCACAAGCGGUGGAGCAUGUGGUUUAAUUCGAUGAUACGCGAGGAACCUUACCUGGGCUCAAAUGUAUGUUGACGUAUUCUGAAAGGGAUACUUCUUCGGACAAUAUACAAGGUGCUGCAUGGUUGUCGUCAGCUCGUGCCGUGAGGUGUCGGGUUAAGUCCCAUAACGAGCGCAACCCCUAUCAUUAGUUGCCAUCAGGUCAAGCUGGGGACUCUAAAGGAACUGCCUACGCAAGUAGUGAGGAAGGCGGGGAUGACGUCAAAUCAGCACGGCCCUUACGUCCAGGGCUACACACGUGCUACAAUGGCCGAUACAGAGGGCAGCUACCUGGUGACAGGAUGCAAAUCUCCAAAGUCGGUCUCAGUUCGGAUCGGAGUCUGCAACCCGACUCCGUGAAGUUGGAUUCGCUAGUAAUCGCGCAUCAGCCAUGGCGCGGUGAAUACGUUCCCGGGCCUU